AAACUUUCCACAAGUAUGAUGGAUUUAUAUAUCCUGAACCAUCUACAUGGUCAUGGGCAUGGGACAAAUUGGACAAAUGGUUUUCUUCUGGAUCUGCAUUGGAUGACAGGAGAGCAUUCUUUCGAGAAUUUUUCCCGAAGUGGAGCGGAUUUCACGUUGGUUCCUGUGAUCCCAAAAUUCAACCGGUGGAAGCACUAGAACAGGUCGAAUGUUUGGUUGAGGACAUUUCUGCAGUCUGGACAGUUGCUA
This is a non-coding RNA of Paramuricea clavata, 249 nucleotides long. NCBI's taxonomy places the organism in Eukaryota, Metazoa, Cnidaria, Anthozoa, Malacalcyonacea, Plexauridae. The record is from the annotation of a GenBank genome assembly.